UGAAGCGGUUUAUCGGCCCUCGUAACUAGGUAGAUGCCAGCGUUGUGCACGGUAAUUUAUGAGCUUUCCUCUAACCAAGGUAUGUGCUUGGUUUUAGGCACUUGCAACUGGUCUGUGCCGUCGUGGGUCCCUGCACGGUGGAAAGAAAACCCUGCUCUCAGUGAAGGAGACAGAGAAAGCGCCCGAGAGUGGGACCAGCCACAGCAGAAUCCAGAAGAGAGAUUUCUGCUACAGAUCAUAUGGGAAAUCAUUCUUAUGAAUGGAUCUCGCGUCCCUCAGAACUGGGUGUCGAAGAUCACAGGUGAAAGCUUGGCAGCUCAGGAGGGUUUGUCAGGAGGACAUGGAGACCCUGUGGUGCAGAAGCUACUGAGCCUGUCAUAA
This 381-nucleotide long non-coding RNA is filed under the name Struthio camelus australis. RNAcentral's name for it is "lncRNA (ENSSCUG00000013129.1)". Lineage: Eukaryota; Metazoa; Chordata; Aves; Struthioniformes; Struthionidae. The record is from RNAcentral.